UGGCGCUAUUUUAACGGGCGUGUGUAAGCGGCAAAAGCUCAAAUUUGAAAUCCCCCCGGGGAGUUGUAAUUUGAAGAUUGCGUCUUGGAGGCGACCGUGUCUAUGUUCCUUGGAACAGGACGUCACAGAGGGUGAGAAUCCCGUGCGGCACGGCCCCCGGCUCCUUAUAAGGCGCUCUCGACGAGUCGAGUUGUUUGGGAAUGCAGCUCAAAGUGGGUGGUAAAUUCCAUCUAAAGCUAAAUACAGGCGAGAGACCGAUAGCGAACAAGUACAGUGAUGGAAAGAUGAAAAGCACUUUGAAAAGAGAGUGAAACAGCACGUGAAAUUGUUGAAAGGGAAGGGCAUGCCGUCAGAUUGUCAGUGUGGGUAAGAAGCGGGGUACAAAGACUGUGGAACGUGGCCCUCGGGUGUUAUAGCCGCAGUUCAUGCCCCGUCUCUUUCCGAGGCCUGCUUUGAGGACACCGACGUAAUGACGGUACGCCGCCCGUCUUGAAACACGGACCA
RNAcentral lists this ribosomal RNA (504 nucleotides) under Kodamaea ohmeri. Its description in RNAcentral is "eukaryotic LSU rRNA". It matches the Rfam family "Eukaryotic large subunit ribosomal RNA", at positions 1 to 668 of the family's 3401-position model. The record is from RNAcentral. Lineage: Eukaryota; Fungi; Ascomycota; Pichiomycetes; Serinales; Debaryomycetaceae.